UAUUAACUCAUUUAUGUCACCAGAGCUACAUGUAUACAGAUUAGUGAAAUGUAUGUUUAUUAUUAAAUAUUAGUUUAGUUUAAUCAUAAACAGAUAACAUCAUUUUCAGGUCCUUCUCACCAACUAUCUGAUAUUCUUCUGGCUAUUUUCAACUCAAAAUGGAAUAUUUUAUGUUCCUUUUCUUACAGACUCUAAAGAUUCUUUUUUGUAUUCUUACCAUCUGCACAAUGAUAUUUUUGCCUCAUGGGCUCUUACUGUUACGUAUAGAAAGUGUGUUUUUGCUUACUACUUUUCUAAGCUAAACAAAGGAGAUAUUAAGCAGCUGAUUUAUACAUAGAUUUUUUUUUUAGUUUUGUUUGAAGGGACAUUAUUGAGUGUAGUCUUCUAAUCCUAACUCUCCUGUUCAUUCCCAUGUUUAUCAUUGUUGUUAUUACUACUUCUCUCUUCAAGAGAACACUGUGCCACUAUCCCUCACAGUGCUUAACUUGCUGU
This 492-nucleotide long non-coding RNA is filed under the name Bos taurus (domestic cattle). RNAcentral's name for it is "long non-coding RNA NONBTAT018597". Lineage: Eukaryota; Metazoa; Chordata; Mammalia; Artiodactyla; Bovidae. The record is from RNAcentral.